Molecule: ribosomal RNA, 441 nt
Filed under: uncultured bacterium
Lineage: Bacteria
Description: partial 16S ribosomal RNA
Rfam family: Bacterial small subunit ribosomal RNA
Source: RNAcentral
CCUACGGGUGGCAGCAGUGGGGGAUAUUGCACAAUGGGGGGAACCCUGAUGCAGCGACGCCGCGUGGGUGAAGGAGUGCUUCGGCAUGUAAAGCCCUAUCGGCAGGGAAGAAGCAAGACGGUACCUGACUAAGAAGCCCCGGCUAACUACGUGCCAGCAGCCGCGGUAAUACGUCGGGGGCGAGCGUUAUCCGGAUUCACUGGGUGUAAAGGGAGCGUAGACGGCCAUGCAAGCCAGGGGUGAAAGCCCGGGGCCCAACCCCGGGACUGCCCUUGGAACGGCAUGGCUAGAGUGCGGGAGGGGCAGGCGGAAUUCCGGGUGUAGCGGUGAAAUGCGUAGAUAUCAGGAGGAACACCGGCGGCGAAGGCGGCCUGCUGGACCGCGACUGACGUUGAGGCUCGAAAGCGUGGGGAGCGAACAGGAUUAGAUACCCUAGUAGUC